Molecule: small nuclear RNA, 107 nt
Organism: Octodon degus (degu)
Lineage: Eukaryota; Metazoa; Chordata; Mammalia; Rodentia; Octodontidae
Source: Ensembl
GGGCUCACUUCUGCAGCGCAUAUACUAAAACUGGAGUAAUACAGAGAAGAUUAGCUUGGCUUCUGCACAAAGAUGACAUGCAAAUUCAUGAAGGGUCCCACAGAAAA